Molecule: long non-coding RNA, 1854 nt
Organism: Aedes albopictus (Asian tiger mosquito)
Lineage: Eukaryota; Metazoa; Arthropoda; Insecta; Diptera; Culicidae
Exons: 2
Source: RefSeq, a predicted model, not a curated record
UUAUAUUCCUGAAACUCGGGAAUUUCGCCAAACUGUGUAAUAGUUAUCAAUAAAAAAAUAACAAUAGAUACCCCGGCUAGACCAACGACGCAACACUUGGUAAGCGAGGGUGCGAGAAACGAUAGCAUGGGUAGCACAGCAAGCAAACGAUGAGGCACAUGUCUUCCCCGUACAUUGAUAUUGUUCAGUUGAGUGCGAUCACACAAGACAACAGUUACUGUCCUCUUCUACGAUGAUUUGGGAUAUCCGAGCAGGGCAGUCAGCGGUGUCAACUGCACUGAAAAUCCCACUAUUGUCGACCGACGUUAGUCAGUUGUCAACGUAUGGUGCACUACUGACGUCGAUCCUCGGCAUUCGCAAUGCAAAUUUACGCCCGCGCGAUAAUCGUGCCUUGCUCGUGCGGAAAGAGCGCUCGACCGCGCAGUUCUGCAACCGUCCGAGUUCGAUUGAUACCUACAUUGUAUUGAAGAAGCGUCCGGCGAGUUGUCCACUUUGGUCGGUCCGAUGGAACUCGAACACAUCGUUGAUCCGAUGGGAAGAACCGUCUUCGCUCGAUCAAGUGCGCCUUCCAACUGAGUCCAUCAUCGCACUCGAACUGCGGAGGAGGUGACUCAGCUGACGACGACGCGGCACUCGCUCUGUCUGUCUGGCUGGAUGCAUUCUACUCUACAUACUUGGCCCGCGGGAGAUCUUGGGAAUCUCGCUCGUUCGACGGAUCCAGUCCGAUGACUGUGUGGUGCCUCUGUUUUCUCUGUAUGCAGUGGGCCACUCAAGUGUGUGCCUGCCGUGCACUGUGCGCGUUCUCACUGCUGAAGUGACCACCGAAAGGUGUACAACACACUACAGUUCGUGUCGCGGUUUCGAGUGUUUCAAGUUUCGGACUUUAGCUGGCUGUAGCUGCGUGGAAUUUAGCCGAAAAUAAUCGAACGAAAACAAGGAAAACAUAUUGUCUGAAGGCCCACUAAAUGGCCAAUCGGUACCAACGUGAAAAUCAUCAGUUUUAAAGAGGACUAGUGUGCGUAAAAGUAGAACACCAAUUUUUUCGCGAAAGAAAGAUAUCUUCGGACAAAAGAAUAAUCGUGCUCGUGAUUGAAGUGAUUCAGGUGAUUGAAAAGUGACAAUCUGUCUGAUCGAAGGACUUUACUCUUCCGUUAACUCAGGUGACGGUAGACCUGUAAUAGCUGCAAUUCUCGGAACAACGCAUUCUUGGUCUGCAUUGCGGAAUAAUUGUUCGGUUUUUGUGCUCUUCCAUACGGAACUUGUGAUUCUACAAUCAUCGCGCAGUACGAAGCCGAGGGAUCAGCCCGGCCAGCAGCGGGUGGGUGGUAUCUGGUGGGGCGACGCGACGUCAGGCGCCCGCUCGGAACAGACUUGGGGACGUUGUUGGAUGUAGUGGUGAUACUUAGCUAACGACGACGACGACAUCGCGACGCACAUGUGCAGUGGUGACACUCUCAUCGGUCCAGUUUAGUGUGGUGGAUUUAUUCACGACGGGCGACCGCUCAGGAUUAGUGUUGCAAGUGCCAAUCUCGGCGCAUCGGUCAGCAGCAACAACAACAACAACAACAAAAAUCCGGUCACCCUGCGUGGUUCUUCUCUAAACGGUGUGAUUCGAGAAGAUGUGUGAUCGUCAUCUUCCUGCCGCUGCUACUUCUAAUGUGUGAAAAUCGAAAGAGAUAAAGUGACGGUGAUGGUAGCGAAGCGAUGAUGGUGCUUUAGCUGUUGAUGCUGCUGAUGAUGAUGAUAAGCAGAUAUUUUUAGCGUGAAGAACGCGGAUGAAAAACGCGAGUGAUGUGAAGCAGAUCGUGUGGAAUCGGAAGAAAUCUGCGGAAAGUGCCUGUGUUGUUUAUUGGA